AUUGAACGCUGGCGGCAUGCCUUACACAUGCAAGUCGAACGGCAGCGGACCUUCGGGUGCCGGCGAGUGGCGAACGGGUGAGUAAUAUAUCGGAACGUACCUUUCAGUGGGGGAUAACGUAGCGAAAGUUACGCUAAUACCGCAUAUUCUGUGAGCAGGAAAGCAGGGGAUCGCAAGACCUUGCGCUGAUUGAGCGGCCGAUAUCAGAUUAGCUAGUUGGUGAGGUAAAGGCUCACCAAGGCGACGAUCUGUAGCGGGUCUGAGAGGAUGAUCCGCCACACUGGAACUGAGACACGGUCCAGACCCCUACGGGAGGCAGCAGUGGGGAAUUUUGGACAAUGGGCGCAAGCCUGAUCCAGCCAUGCCGCGUGAGUGAAGAAGGCCUCGGUUGUAA
RNAcentral lists this ribosomal RNA (394 nucleotides) under uncultured bacterium. RNAcentral's name for it is "bacterial SSU rRNA". It matches the Rfam family "Bacterial small subunit ribosomal RNA", at positions 30 to 428 of the family's 1533-position model. The record is from RNAcentral.